This 44-nucleotide ribosomal RNA is filed under the name Pisolithus tinctorius. RNAcentral's name for it is "partial 28S ribosomal RNA". Lineage: Eukaryota; Fungi; Basidiomycota; Agaricomycetes; Boletales; Pisolithaceae. The record is from RNAcentral.
AAGGCUUGACCUCAAAUCAGGUAGGACUACCCGCGAACUUAAGC